UACGGGGGGGGGCAAGCGUUGUUCGGAAUUACUGGGCGUAAAGGGCUCGUAGGCGGCCAACUAAGUCCGACGUGAAAUCCCCAGGCUUAACCUGGGAACUGCGUCGGAUACUGGAUGGCUUGAAUCCGGGAGAGGGAUGCAGAAUUCCAGGUGUAGCGGUGAAAUGCGUAGAUAUCUGGAGGAACACCGGUGGCGAAGGCGGCAUCCUGGACCGGCAUUGACGCUGAGGCGCGAAAGC
Molecule: ribosomal RNA, 238 nt
Filed under: uncultured bacterium
Lineage: Bacteria
Description: partial 16S ribosomal RNA
Rfam family: Bacterial small subunit ribosomal RNA
Source: RNAcentral